UCAGUCGACUCCUACGGGGAGGCAGCAGUGGGGGAAUAUUGCACAAUGGGCGCAAGCCUGAUGCAGCCAUGCCGCGUGUGUGAAGAAGGACCCUACGGGUUCGUUAAAGCACUUUCAGUCGUGAGGAAGGUAGUGUAGUUAAUAGCUGCAUUAUUUGACGUUAGCGACAGAAGAAGCACCGGCUAACUCCGUGCCAGCAGCCGCGGUAAUACGGAGGGUGCGAGCGUUAAUCGGAAUUACUGGGCGUAAAGCGCAUGCAGGUGGUUUGUUUAAGUCAGAUGUGAAAGACCCGGGGCUCAACCUCGGAAUUGCAUUUGAAACUGGCAGACUAGAGUACUGUAGAGGGGGGUAGGAAUUUCAGGUGUAGCGGUGAAAUGCGUAGAGAUCUGAAGGAAUACCGGUGGCGAAGGCGGCCCCCUGGACAGAUACUGACACUCAGAUGCGAAAGCGUGGGGAGCAAACAGGAUUAGAUACCCCUGGUAG
RNAcentral lists this ribosomal RNA (483 nucleotides) under uncultured bacterium. RNAcentral's name for it is "bacterial SSU rRNA". It matches the Rfam family "Bacterial small subunit ribosomal RNA", at positions 328 to 793 of the family's 1533-position model. The record is from RNAcentral.